ACGACCAGGGACAUUCCCUAACUGUCGGGGAGUUUUGUUCGCGCGGCAGGCGAGUCUCCGUCAGUUGCUGCCUUGCCGUCGCCGAGGUCGGACGUGUCGUCUCGUGCUGGAACUGUAGUUGCUAACAAAGGCUUUAACUAUUUGCGCAGCGCCUGUUGAACUACAUGCUGCCCUUGCUAGACGGGCUUUCUCGUAUCGUAAAUUUAAGCAAACUGACCGAAAGUAUUACUCUCGACCAUGCUAAGGAUCCUGAACAGUCAAAAUGGCGGCUUCAAGUCUCCAAAGCCCGUCUAUUCAGCAACAUCAGCGGCGGUCGCCCAAGCGCCGUACGCUCUCUACCGGCUCUGGGAGGCCUGGCUCCAAGCAGUUAAGGGACGCUCCAGACAAGGCACAUCAGCUGUCAGCGUGCAGGGAACAUGAACACAGGGGCGUCCCUGUAAGGCCAGCAGUGCAUGUUCUGAGAGGCCUUCAUUAUUAAGCCGACCCUGCAAGUUGUAGGUCGGGCUGUCGACAAAUCGUUGUUCAACCCAUUCGGAGUCGUCAAUUUCCUCAGGGUUGGCGCCCAAGCGUGCCCGGUGGUUUGGCGGCUUUCGGGUUCUGCUUCAGGCCGAGGUUUUUGAGGUCAGACGCCCUUGGACUUUGGUGGUAAACCGGUUGUUGCCUAUAGCCGCCGAGCGCGCGUGGAGUCUUCCCGCCUAUCACGGAAGACGGCUCUGGGUUUUUGGUCGUCGUCUCUUGUGGACGUCCAGAAUGGCUCGUCGAAGGCUGCGGUUCUCUCUCGGGGUCUGCGGCCGGAUUCGCCCGGAGCUUUGGGGGCUGGUGGGUUCUGCUUGCAGGCGGAGGUUUUUGAGGUCAGACGCCCUUCGACUCUGGCGGCAAACUGUUGGUUCCUUAAGCUCCGAGCGUUUGCGGUCGUCCCGGUUAUCGGGAGUUCCCGCCUGAGCCCGAAUGCUGAAAGGGCGGCGAAGCCCUAUGAAUGUACGCCCGCGGUAGCUGUGCCUGAUUCGCCCGGAGGUUUGGUGGAUGGCGGAUACUGUCUGUAGGCGGAGGUUUUUGAGGUCAGACGCCCUCCGACUCGGAUUGCGAUACGUUGUUUACCUAGCCUCCGAGCGUCGCAGGACUGCUGCCCAUCGGGUUCGCGGUGUGCAUGACGCACAUGAAUUUGUGCCGCACUUCCUGUGGCGCCCAACUUUGGCAGCGGGCACCCAGUAGGGGCGCGCGGUUCCUCGCUGGCCCGGUGGUUCGGCCGCUGGUGGGCUCCUGUUGUUAGGCGGAGGUUUUUGAGGUCAGACGCCCUCCGUCUUCGGCUGUGAACCUCUGGUGGCUUUGGCAUCGAGCUUGUGAGGACGAGCCGCCCAACUUGUUGGGCACUCCGCUGACGGUCGCCGCAGAAGCAGCUUCUCUGCAGGAAUUAGGAGCGGCACGUCAACCUGUGGCAUACCUCUCAGAGCAUGCGUGUAGCUUGGUCGCACACGCUUCACAGUGUGGGGUACACGUGGGCCAGUUGGUAUAGUGAAGGUGAGAAAGCUGCGUUGGGUGUGCUCUGCGCACGCCCUCCUCGCGCGCGAGUGCUAGCUGCGCUGUGCGGCCUGGGGACGGCCAAUACUGCGACUCGAGCCGGGCCUGUGGCCAGCCAUGGGGCACGUUCGUCCGCGGCCGCUCACCGCGGUCAUGCGGGGGUCACUGGCUUGGGCGCCGUUCUCGCGACACGAUGCGGUGUUGUUGAAUUGCUUCGUGGAGUGCAGGCGACGUCCGCCCCCUGGCCGGUGGAUAGAGCGGUUCGGACGAUGACCACCAUUGGUGCUCUUAACCACUGCGUGCACCUUUCGGACGUUCCGGGCCCUGAGACAUUUGGCUGCGUCUCGGAGCUGAUUAGCUCACUGAUUUUAACAAGGGCCUAGCCAGACCGGGGAUAUUACUCCUCGCGUGCGCGGCGCUCCGUCGCGUCGCUUGGCUCUCGGGAACUUCGGCACGGGUUUAAAACCUCGCUGGUUUGUGCGGUUGCUCCGGUUUCAGGCUCCUGUUUUUCUUCAGCGGUAGCUUUAGGUGGUGUGUGGUGUUUUCAUCGUGUCAUUAGCGGAUGCCUUCAGCUGCAAGCACGUCGAAAGAAGAUGAAGAUCAAGGUCUGCGCUCGUGUGUGUCGUGUGUGCGCGAAACCCCUCAGCCAGGGGCACCCCAGAAGGGGGUACUGUGCGGUGCGCGGGUGUUAACAAACAGGGCCUGGCUGUUGCAAGCGCCGUUCUCGCUAGGACCCGCUUGCCUGACCCGAGGGCGAGGUUACCCGUGGGGUUGUCGAGUCGCGAUGGGCCCUGGCUUGCUUCGCAUAUUCAAAAAAAAAACAACGUUGGGUCCACCUUGGGCUCCGGGGUCGACUGGGGCUGUCGCGGGAGGCCUUGUCGCGCGCCUUUUUUAACCAUUUUCUGUCGGGCGUGUCGGCUGGCUACGCUGUGCCUGGCUCGGGUAGUUGUCACUGGGCUGUCCACUGCUCCGCCGUGCGCAGCGGGCCAAGCGUGCUUUGGAGGGUAGCCGCCGUGCCGUCGCCCUAGCAGCGCACGACACUAGAGGUACACGGGGUGUUGUCACGUCACGAUAUUAGAUCGCAGACACCAGGACAAGUUCACAAGGAGCCUACAAACUGGAAUAGCUCAAAAAGGCCUUUACUGUUGACAUGGACUCCAGCACAGCGAAAGCCGCCAAGCCUCAUCUGAAAUCAACCUUUGAAGGUCCUGAAGACAGAAGAAAAAUCAGGCACAGGCUGCAUCUACAUGGCACCCACUGGUGGAAGAAGCUCUCCAGUGAAGAUGUCAAGGUCAAGUGCUCUACGUCGUCUUCAAGGUCAAGAGCUCUGCGUCAUCGGAAGUGUUCAGUGCCGUGUGGUGGUCAACGGUUUGUGUGCUUUUUUUUUUUCCUCGCGGAGUGUUGUUUUCCGUCUACGGUGGUACAGCCACACUCCCUGGAGCCGCGGUGCUGUGCGUGUGCAUCUGUGUGAAGUGUUAUGGCCUGUUUCGUCUGUGCAAUCAGUGGUCCGAAGCGCAGAAGUCACUGCCCAGUUAGUGUCCAGCUGGAAGAUCUCUCUAGUGGGUGCCAUGUAGAUUGAGGGCCUUCACGGCCCCGCAGACUGUGACCUGAAAGCGAACUUUGUAAAUCCAAGAACUGAACUGUUACAAGUUUCCUCUCACCAACGCAUGGACUUCUCAAAAGCAAAAAAAAAAAACGUCAAUACGUCACUGGUAGAUAGGGAAAGGGGAGGGUCAUCAUCGAGAAGUCCUCAGAGAGGAACUUAUUU
Long non-coding RNA from Rhipicephalus sanguineus (brown dog tick), 3286 nucleotides. RefSeq lists it as uncharacterized. Lineage: Eukaryota; Metazoa; Arthropoda; Arachnida; Ixodida; Ixodidae. The record is from RefSeq and is a predicted model, not a curated record. The transcript is spliced from 4 exons.